Molecule: long non-coding RNA, 524 nt
Organism: Cyprinus carpio (common carp)
Lineage: Eukaryota; Metazoa; Chordata; Actinopteri; Cypriniformes; Cyprinidae
Source: Ensembl
AUGGUGUUCCUCCAAGAGAUCCAUUUUGCCCUGAUAUGCAGUCUGGAGAUUUCACAGAAAAUCAAUAAAGCAGAACACUUUUUAAAAAAAAAUUGGAACAUGGUAGACCAUCUCGGACCACCAGCACACCAUCUGCUCAUAGAAACUCAAGGUGGUCAAGCUGGUUUUUGGAGUAGUAAUGACCAGCUAGAAACCAUCUACCAUGUUCCAAAACACAACCAUCAUCUUAAGCUGGAUUUUCCAGCAGGAAAUACACCCUCUGGUGUAACUUUCGGGCCUAAUGAUGGUGUAUUAUCAAAGGAUGUGUCAUACCAAGCUAUGACGGUUCUCUCUCAGGCUGCAAAAUAGACAACAAUAAGGACUGACUUUCUUCCUGGGGUAAUGGCAGAUCUCCUCCUGUCUCACCUGUGCUCCACUGAGAGAGGGUUAUGGUGUUGUAUGCCCCCCUAUUGCUUCACUGAUGCUAAAUUACUGCCAGAGAGAAAGAGAAACCCAGGCAGCGCUCACAGAACUCACAAAUCCUU